UUCCAUUCUGUAAGCUGCAUUUUCACUUUCAUGAUGGUGUGCUCUGAAAUCAAAGUUUUUAUAUCUGAGAACUCCCAAUUUAUCUGUUUACUUUGCUUCCUUAUGCUUGGGUGUCAUAGCUAAGAAACCAUUGCCUAAUCCAACGUCAGAAAGAUUUACUCUCAGGUUUUCUUCUAAAUGUUUUAUAAUUUUAGCUCUUACAUUUAGGUCCAUGACCCAUUUUGAGUUAAUUAUUGUAUAUGGUGUGAGGCAGAGCCAGGGUGAUGUCUCAAAAACAAACCAGACUCGGUGACUCUGCUUCUUAAAAUUCUCUACUGGCUUCCGGCUGCUCUUAGAACACAAUCCUAGUUCCUCGCCCCAAGGUUUUCAGCCUCAUCUCAGCGCCCACGCACCCCCUCCCACCUCCCCCCCCCAGGCCUAGCUUGCUGGAGCUAUGGCUGCCUUCUCACAGUUCCUAAUCCCUAAACUCAUUCUGACUGGUGUUUUUGCAAUGCUGUUCCCUAUGCCGAAAACAAUUUCUAGUGGCUACUGCCCUUCUUUCCAUCUCAGUGUAAAAGUGCCUUCUUCAGUUAAGACCUUGGCUGACCACUCUACAUGAGAUAUCCAAAUACCUAAGAAGUGAGCCCGAGAGAUGAUUGAAACUUUUGAUCCGGGAAAUAACUCACACAUUUGUUUUGCUUUGCUCUAAUCUUCAGAGGUGUGUGUAUCAUGUUGCCAGGUCCCAGGUUUUUAAAAAACAGAUUUUCCUUUGGGCUUCCCCCCUCCCACCUUUCAUCGCGGUAAUAUUUUCUCUUAUCUCUCAUCUUCUAAAAAAAAGUAGGUGUAACAGUCUAAUCAGCCUUUACCAACUUUUCUGCAAGAACAAGGCAGAAAAUACGAAGAUAUACAUCAAGAAUUGUUAUUAUUGUUUAUGUAGUAGUGAUAUAUGACUCCACUGGGCUUUGUGUUUUACAUGGCCACUUUGAAAACACAGGAUGCUGUUCAGGCACAAGCAAUUUGUUUCUGAGUCCUGUGCUUGGAUAUUUCUAAUAAAUAUAUUCUGCCUCUGAUUUUAUGAUAUCAACAAGAUACCCAUGCAAUAAAAUAUUUUCAGAUUC
Long non-coding RNA from Neofelis nebulosa (Clouded leopard), 1097 nucleotides. RefSeq lists it as uncharacterized. The transcript has 2 exons. NCBI's taxonomy places the organism in Eukaryota, Metazoa, Chordata, Mammalia, Carnivora, Felidae. The record is from RefSeq and is a predicted model, not a curated record.